AGGCUUGUAGCUCAGGUGGUUGAGCGCACCCUGAUAAGGAGGUGAGGUCGGUGGUUCAAGUCCACUCAGGCUACCA
Molecule: transfer RNA, 76 nt
Filed under: Salmonella enterica subsp. enterica
Lineage: Bacteria; Pseudomonadati; Pseudomonadota; Gammaproteobacteria; Enterobacterales; Enterobacteriaceae
Description: tRNA-OTHER
Rfam family: tRNA
About the family: Transfer RNA (tRNA) molecules are approximately 80 nucleotides in length. Their secondary structure includes four short double-helical elements and three loops (D, anti-codon, and T loops). Further hydrogen bonds mediate the characteristic L-shaped molecular structure. tRNAs have two regions of fundamental functional importance: the anti-codon, which is responsible for specific mRNA codon recognition, and the 3' end, to which the tRNAs corresponding amino acid is attached (by aminoacyl-tRNA synthetases). tRNAs cope with the degeneracy of the genetic code in two manners: having more than one tRNA (with a specific anti-codon) for a particular amino acid; and 'wobble' base-pairing, i.e. permitting non-standard base-pairing at the 3rd anti-codon position.
Source: RNAcentral